GACGAACGCUGGCGGCGUGCUUAACACAUGCAAGUCGAACGGAAAGGCCCUGCUUUUGUGGGGUGCUCGAGUGGCGAACGGGUGAGUAACACGUGAGUAACCUGCCCUUGACUUUGGGAUAACUUCAGGAAACUGGGGCUAAUACCGGAUAGGAGCUCCUGCUGCAUGGUGGGGGUUGGAAAGUUUCGGCGGUUGGGGAUGGACUCGCGGCUUAUCAGCUUGUUGGUGGGGUAGUGGCUUACCAAGGCUUUGACGGGUAGCCGGCCUGAGAGGGUGACCGGCCACAUUGGGACUGAGAUACGGCCCAGACUCCUACGGGAGGCAGCAGUGGGGAAUAUUGCACAAUGGGCGGAAGCCUGAUGCAGCAACGCCGCGUGCGGGAUGACGACCUUCGGGUUGUAAACCGCUUUCGCCUGCGACGAAGCGUGAGUGACGGUAAUGGGUAAAGAAGCACCGGCUAACUACGUG
This 468-nucleotide ribosomal RNA is filed under the name uncultured bacterium. Its description in RNAcentral is "partial 16S ribosomal RNA". It matches the Rfam family "Bacterial small subunit ribosomal RNA", at positions 28 to 507 of the family's 1533-position model. The record is from RNAcentral.